Molecule: transfer RNA, 72 nt
Filed under: Lithodesmium undulatum
Lineage: Eukaryota; Bacillariophyta; Thalassiosirophyceae; Lithodesmiales; Lithodesmiaceae
Description: tRNA-Met
Rfam family: tRNA
About the family: Transfer RNA (tRNA) molecules are approximately 80 nucleotides in length.
Source: RNAcentral
AGUUAAAAAGAGCAAUGGUUGCUCGUUAGGCUCAUGUCCUAAAGGCUGUUGGUUCAAAUCCAACUUUAACUA